GACGAACGCUGGCGGCGUGCUUAACACAUGCAAGUCGAACGGAAAGGCCCUGCUUUUGUGGGGUGCUCGUUUGGCGAACGGGUGAGUAACACGUGAGUAACCUGUCCUUGACUUUGGGAUAACUUCAGGAAACUGGGGCUAAUACCGGAUAGGAGCUCCUGCUGCAUGGUGGGGGUUGGAAAGUUUCGGCGGUUGGGGAUGGACUCGCGGCUUAUCAGCUUGUUGGUGGGGUAGUGGCGUACCAAGGCUUUGACGGGUAGGCGGCCUGAGAGGGUGACCGGCCACAUUGGGACUGAGAUACGGAGCAGACUCCUACGGGAGGCAGCAGUGGGGAAUAUUGCGCAAUGGGCGGAAGCCUGAUGCAGCAACGCCGCGUGCGGAAUGACGGCCUUCGGGUUGUAAACCGCUUUCGCCUGAGACGAAGCGUGAGUGACGGUAAUGGGUAAAGAAGCACCGGCUAACUACGUG
Molecule: ribosomal RNA, 468 nt
Filed under: uncultured bacterium
Lineage: Bacteria
Description: partial 16S ribosomal RNA
Rfam family: Bacterial small subunit ribosomal RNA
Source: RNAcentral